CCCCGUAAGGGUAAUAAAUCUGGAGUAGUAACUGAUAUAUUCUAAAAAUUUGAAAAAUUUGGCGGUGGUUUAGUCUUGUCAGAGGAACCUGUCUUUUAAACGAUACACCACGAAAUAUCUUACUUGAGUUCGUGCAGUAUGUAUACCAUCAUUAUUAGGUAAUUUUUAUAGAAUAAAUUACUGAAAAAUGUCGAUAAUGUUGAAUAUAUUAGAUCAAGGUGCAGCUAAUGCUCAAGUUAAGAUGGGUUACAAUAGUAUUUAUACUAUUACGGAUAAGUAAGUGAAACUUUACUUUGAAGGAGGAUUUGAUUGUAAUUUUAGUUUAAUAAGCUAAUUUGAUAUAAGCUCUAAAGCAUGUACACACCGCCCGUCACCCUCCAGAC
Molecule: ribosomal RNA, 383 nt
Filed under: Portunus pelagicus (sand crab)
Lineage: Eukaryota; Metazoa; Arthropoda; Malacostraca; Decapoda; Portunidae
Description: partial 12S ribosomal RNA
Rfam family: Microsporidia small subunit ribosomal RNA
Source: RNAcentral